RNAcentral lists this long non-coding RNA (207 nucleotides) under Ananas comosus (pineapple). Its description in RNAcentral is "long non-coding RNA (ACOM_LNC023529)". The record is from RNAcentral. Lineage: Eukaryota; Viridiplantae; Streptophyta; Magnoliopsida; Poales; Bromeliaceae.
UUUAUAUGAAAAAUGUAAUUAUCAAAUAAUUUAUAAAUAAAUUUUUAUACUCACUACUUUUCUUUCUGUAUCUAAAUCAAUAAAUUCACUAACUUUUUUCUUAUGUGUUAUCACCCAAAACGUUAAUCUAUCAGGUUGGUUUCCAUAUUUCCUUUCCUACAAAAUUAAAUGCAAAAAUUUUAGUUCGUCAUCCAACAAAAACUAAAA